Molecule: ribosomal RNA, 486 nt
Filed under: uncultured bacterium
Lineage: Bacteria
Description: partial 16S ribosomal RNA
Rfam family: Bacterial small subunit ribosomal RNA
Source: RNAcentral
AUUGAACGCUGGCGGCAUGCCUUACACAUGCAAGUCGAACGGCAGCACGGGUGCUUGCACCUGGUGGCGAGUGGCGAACGGGUGAGCAAUACAUCGGAACAUGUCCUAUAGUGGGGGAUAGCCCGGCGAAAGCCGGAUUAAUACCGCAUACGAUCUACGGAUGAAAGCGGGGGACCUUCGGGCCUCGCGCUAUAGGGUUGGCCGAUGGCUGAUUAGCUAGUUGGUGGGGUAAAGGCCUACCAAGGCGACGAUCAGUAGAUGGUCUGAGAGGACGACCAGCCACACUGGGACUGAGACACGGCCCAGACUCCUACGGGAGGCAGCAGUGGGGAAUUUUGGACAAUGGGCGAAAGCCUGAUCCAGCAAUGCCGCGUGUGUGAAGAAGGCCUUCGGGUUGUAAAGCACUUUUGUCCGGAAAGAAAUCCUUGGCUCUAAUACAGUCGGGGGAUGACGGUACCGGAAGAAUAAGCACCGGCUAACUACGUG